UAGUGUUACCGUUAGAAAAUUUAGGUUGAAGCCAAAAAAAACCCAUUGUUAUGAAUAGGUCAAAAACUAGCAUUUGGGAUCUGUGGGCAGCUCCGCUGGCGCUUGUUCCAUGCGAAUAAUCGCCGUGUCUUAUUUUCUUCAGUCAUAUGGUAGAAUCCAGCACUUCCAAUGAGACCAUCUUCGCUCUGUUACUUUGUAAUUGUAAUCAACGAGAGAAACUAAAAAAGUUGCCUUGUUACAGUCGUCAAUGGCGAACUCAGCUGAAAGAGAUUACGUACCUAGGACGCAAUUAAAAAACCGUUCUCUUUAUUCACCAUUUAGUCUCAAGAACAACAUCAAUUUCUAUACAGAAAAAUGGGUACCCAGAAUUGUCAGAGAAAGAGUGUGAUAGUUGUGAUUGAUGCAAAUCGGAGUAAAGGUAGUAUAGAUGCAGUUGAUUGGGCUAUGAAGCAUGUGGUUCGCCCUGGAGACACCCUUGUUAUUCUUGGAAUUAUUUGUGGGAUCGGAAGGAAAAUGUCUUGCUUUCCACUAAUUAUGGGGAUUAGUAUCGCUGGAAUAUGGGAAAGAUUGGAGUUUCCAGGACAAGGUGAAGUGAGGCCGAAAGAGCUUGGAGAGGAAAUCGAGAGAAAGAAAGAACAGUUCCAGAGUAGCCUCCAACCCUUCUACAGACAGUGCAGGAAGAAUGAGGUGAAGUUGGAAGUUAAACUUGCCGCUGGAUUUUGUCCAGAUAAAGUCACAGUUGAACAGGCUCAAAUCUCUAAUCCGCGCUGGAUUGUUUUAGACAGUCACUUGAAGAAGUUCAAGUUAGUCAUAUUUGGCCAUGUAGGAUGCAACAUUGCAGUAAUGAAAGGAAAAAGCAUUGCAACCUGGCUGCCAUCAAAAACUCGGCAGACUGAAUCAUUCUCACGAAAUUCGAGAAGAAAUCAAGAGGCUGGUUGCGGUAAUCUUCAAGAAAAUGAAGAUUGCAAUACUGCAGUUCAGGAAUCUACACAAUCAGCGCCUCCUAAAAGUCCAUGCUGGUAUCCUCUGUCAUGGAGAAGUGGCUUUCCUAGAGUAUUUACUCAAAUUGAACUUGAGAAUAUAACAAAUGGCUUUUCUGAAGAGAGUUUUAUUCAAGAAUCAGAUAAUGCAAUGGUCUAUGGAGGGCUAUUCCAGGAGACACCUGUUAUAGUCGAACGUUUUGCAGAAAAUAAGGAAACCUUCUGGUGUAUUCUCAAAAUACUUUCCAAGGUACGCCAUCGCAAUAUCAUGAACCUAGUUGGGUACUGCUGCACUGGCACUUCUUCGUUUCUUCUCUUUGACUUCCCUUGUAUGGGUAGUGUUGAAAUCCAAUUUCAAUGUGACGAUGCUGCUAAGAACAUGCCAUGGAAAGCUAGGUGGUGUAUAGCUCUCGAAAUAGGUGGAAGUUUACGAUAUCUUCAUGAGGAGUGUGUUGAUGGGGCCAUUGCUAUGCUCACUGUAUCAUCCUCUGACGUUGCCAUUUCUCAUGGUUACUGUUCCAUGCUUUGUAACUUCUCAAUGGCAAGGUGGUUUAAGGUUGAUGGUCUCACUAGUGAAGAUAAAUCAGCUGCUGAUGUGGAGGAAGAGAAAUACCUUGCUGUGGAUAUACAUGACUAUGGGAUGUUCCUCCUUGAGCUCAUUGUGGGAAAGAGUGAUCGUGUUUUCAGAAACCAUAAUGAGGGUCAAUCUCUCAUAGACUGGUACCACUUUUACAAAAUGGUUGCUUGAGUGAAGUCAUGGAUCCCAGAUUGUCCGAUUCAAGCGAAACUGAGCUGGUAUAUCAUAUGGCACAAGCUGCUCUCCUUUGCCUGAAAAGUGAUUCAGGUCACAGAUUUUCUAUGAGUGAGGUUUUAGCUGUCGUUCGAGGUGACCAGCUUGUAACAAGUGAUCGCUAAAGUUCCUCAGAGAAUUCACAAGGGUAUCUACCAAAUACCAGUUCUUGUUAUGUAUAAAUAAAUUAUUAAAGAAUGAUAUGAUGCUACAAGCUAUUUGUAUAUGUAAGGAUCCAUGGAGAUUUGAUUUUUGCUGCUGCUAUCAUUACUGCUCUUGUUUCCAGUUGUUUUUUGAAACAAGUUCUCAGAAUUCAAAUUU
Tripterygium wilfordii is the source of this 2091-nucleotide RNA transcript. It is a transcript of the gene named probable receptor-like protein kinase At1g80640, with no coding region annotated. The transcript has 9 exons. Lineage: Eukaryota; Viridiplantae; Streptophyta; Magnoliopsida; Celastrales; Celastraceae. The record is from RefSeq and is a predicted model, not a curated record.